CAGUCGCCACGGGAAUACGUAGGGUGCAAGCGUUAAUCGGAAUUACUGGGCGUAAAGCGUGCGCAGGCGGUUAUAUAAGACAGAUGUGAAAUCCCCGGGCUCAACAUGGGAACUGCAUUUGUGACUGUAUAGCUAGAGUACGGCAGAGGGGGAUGGAAUUCCGCGUGUAGCAGUGAAAUGCGUAGAUAUGCGGAGGAACACCGAUGGCGAAGGCAAUCCCCUGGGCCUGUACUGACGCUCAUGCACGAAAGCGUGGGGAGCAAACAGGAUUAGAUACCCGCGUAGUCCCUGUCUCUUAUAC
Molecule: ribosomal RNA, 301 nt
Filed under: uncultured bacterium
Lineage: Bacteria
Description: partial 16S ribosomal RNA
Rfam family: Bacterial small subunit ribosomal RNA
Source: RNAcentral